GACGUGCUAAUCUGCGAUAAGCGUCGGUAAGGUGAUAUGAACCGUUAUAACCGGCGAUUUCCGAAUGGGGAAACCCAGUGUGAUUCGUCACACUAUCAUUAACUGAAUCCAUAGGUUAAUGAGGCGAACCGGGGGAACUGAAACAUCUAAGUACCCCGAGGAAAAGAAAUCAACCGAGAUUCCCCCAGUAGCGGCGAGCGAACGGGGAGCAGCCCAGAGCCUGAAUCAGUGUGUGUGUUAGUGGAAGCGUCUGGAAAGGCGUGCGAUACAGGGUGACAGCCCCGUACACAAAAAUGCACAUACUGUGAGCUCGAUGAGUAGGGCGGGACACGUGGUAUCCUGUCUGAAUAUGGGGGGACCAUCCUCCAAGGCUAAAUACUCCUGACUGACCGAUAGUGAACCAGUACCGUGAGGGAAAGGCGAAAAGAACCCCGGCGAGGGGAGUGAAAAAGAACCUGAAACCGUGUACGUACAAGCAGUGGGAGCACGCUUAGGCGUGUGACUGCGUACCUUUUGUAUAAUGGGUCAGCGACUUAUAUUCUGUAGCAAGGUUAACCGAAUAGGGGAGCCGAAGGGAAACCGAGUCUUAACUGGGCGUUAAGUUGCAGGGUAUAGACCCGAAACCCGGUGAUCUAGCCAUGGGCAGGUUGAAGGUUGGGUAACACUAACUGGAGGACCGAACCGACUAAUGUUGAAAAAUUAGCGGAUGACUUGUGGCUGGGGGUGAAAGGCCAAUCAAACCGGGAGAUAGCUGGUUCUCCCCGAAAGCUAUUUAGGUAGCGCCUCGUGAAUUCAUCUCCGGGGGUAGAGCACUGUUUCGGCAAGGGGGUCAUCCCGACUUACCAACCCGAUGCAAACUGCGAAUACCGGAGAAUGUUAUUACGGGAGACACACGGCGGGUGCUAACGUCCGUCGUGAAGAGGGAAACAACCCAGACCGCCAGCUAAGGUCCCAAAGUCAUGGUUAAGUGGGAAACGAUGUGGGAAGGCCCAGACAGCCAGGAUGUUGGCUUAGAAGCAGCCAUCAUUUAAAGAAAGCGUAAUAGCUCACUGGUCGAGUCGGCCUGCGCGGAAGAUGUAACGGGGCUAAACCAUGCACCGAAGCUGCGGCAGCGACGCUUAUGCGUUGUUGGGUAGGGGAGCGUUCUGUAAGCCUGUGAAGGUGUGCUGUGAGGUAUGCUGGAGGUAUCAGAAGUGCGAAUGCUGACAUAAGUAACGAUAAAGCGGGUGAAAAGCCCGCUCGCCGGAAGACCAAGGGUUCCUGUCCAACGUUAAUCGGGGCAGGGUGAGUCGACCCCUAAGGCGAGGCCGAAAGGCGUAGUCGAUGGGAAACAGGUUAAUAUUCCUGUACUUGGUGUUACUGCGAAGGGGGGACGGAGAAGGCUAUGUUGGCCGGGCGACGGUUGUCCCGGUUUAAGCGUGUAGGCUGGUUUUCCAGGCAAAUCCGGAAAAUCAAGGCCGAGGCGUGAUGACGAGGCACUACGGUGCUGAAGCAACAAAUGCCCUGCUUCCAGGAAAAGCCUCUAAGCAUCAGGUAACAUCAAAUCGUACCCCAAACCGACACAGGUGGUCAGGUAGAGAAUACCAAGGCGCUUGAGAGAACUCGGGUGAAGGAACUAGGCAAAAUGGUGCCGUAACU
This 1638-nucleotide ribosomal RNA is filed under the name Shigella flexneri. RNAcentral describes it as "partial 23S ribosomal RNA". It matches the Rfam family "Bacterial large subunit ribosomal RNA", at positions 55 to 1735 of the family's 2925-position model. Lineage: Bacteria; Pseudomonadati; Pseudomonadota; Gammaproteobacteria; Enterobacterales; Enterobacteriaceae. The record is from RNAcentral.